RNAcentral lists this long non-coding RNA (1392 nucleotides) under Androctonus crassicauda. Lineage: Eukaryota; Metazoa; Arthropoda; Arachnida; Scorpiones; Buthidae. The record is from RNAcentral.
AGGGAAUCCUGGGCUACGUGGCCGAGAAAGGCGAAUCUGUUAACAUCGCCGAUUGUUAUCAGGUAAGUCCCGUUUUAGUCCGCUACUCUAUUCCAACAGAUUGGAAAAGGGCGGCUACGCCCAAAAUUAGGAUUCGAUACGGCGUCGCUGUUCAGUUAAAGGCGCGGGAGGGCGUUGGUCAAGGACUGCGUCCCGCCGGCCGGGUGGCACCGGGUUGAAAAAAAGGCCGUUCCCAGAAGCGUCGGAGCACAGUAGCGCGUUUGUUGACCAAGAAAACCGAUCGUCCGAUGGAAUUAGCCCGGUGUAAUUAUAUAUAUAUUAAUAGCGACGUCGAUUCGUCUGUCGAUCUUUACUCGGUCGGUGGUGAUGUUAUCGGGUGCGCUCAUCCCGCGGUGGAGGGUGAACGGACCCCUGUACAUCAGGUUCCCCCUUCUGGCCGUCGACGACCAAUGGCUGGGGAUAGUUAUUCCGUCGGCCGUAGACCAAAGCUCAAUCGAAGAACGGGCUAACUUGGGUGGGGUGGCCACCCGGCACGGUACCUAAGCGCCUAUAUACGAUUCCGCUUAUCUGGCGCCAGGGUUGGCGUGGCACUGACCACCACCGAUGGAAGUAUGGCACUUUAGGUUUUUAUCGACCAUUUAGCCAACUUCAGCCUAGCCAAUUAACUUAAUGCAUCUUGUUUUAGAUAGCCGGUGCCAUGUUCCUCCAGUCCGAAAUAUAAUGCCUGGAAUUGCCCGUGGCCCAUCGAUCAUUUUCAACGGUGGAAAUAAUUAUCCAAAGCUAGAUCUGGAUGCAUUUUAAACCGAUCUUGGUUCAUUUCGUUACUAGUUAGGCCCGCCUCAAUUUUGCAUUUAUGGUAAAUUCCAGAUGCUUAAACUAUUAACCAAUAUAUAGCUGAAAACCAAUCUGGAGAUGCUUUAUCGACGUUAGAGAAUCACUCUAAACGGUAAUUAUCACUUGUACGAUAAGUUCUGCCCACCGCGGGAUUAGCCGAAGUUAAAACUAUCCAAGAUCUACCUUGGAAAAUUGGAUGGCAGACGGGGUCGAAACGCUUAACAGGUACCAUUUAUGUAAAAUAAAAGCGCCGGAAAAUUCAUUUUCCCUUAAAGUUAAUAAAUAGAUUUUGUCCGUUUUAAUAAGAUUAAAUAAAAUAUAUGGAGUUUAUUAACGGAAGGUGAGGCCACCAUUAAACGAUAAGGGACCAAGAGGUGGCUGUUGUCCUACUCUCUCCACCCCAAUCGCUUCCAGUUUUAUAUUGUACCAGUAAAGUAACCUAUUUCGUCUACCGCACCCGAGCCAGCACCGCCGGUAAUUACAAAAGAAUCGUCUGUUAAUACAGGACUCCAGAUUCGACCGCACCGUCGACAGAAAGACGGGCUACACUACCAGGAG